CAUAGGAACCCACGCAGUAGCAUCGUUUCAAAAUGUUUCCAUCACCAUCAUCAGUGGAUGCCUUUGCCGUCCGUACCCUGAGAUUUCAGAUUUGCUGCAAAAAAUGUGACUUUCCCAUUUAUUGGAAUGCUGUGCAGCCAUCCAUUACAAUGUCACCAAGCCGUAACAAAAGCAGGAGAGGGAAAGUACAAGGCUAUGUUCCCAAAACACAAAAGUGACAUACUUUAUGUGGAUGAUGUGAUCAGGCUUGUGUUUGCUGAGGUAUUUGAAGAUAAGCUGAAGGAAACCCCGAUUCCAAUGGACCUGGCAUCACAGUUUGAGAGACCUUCAAAGGAGGACGUGAUUGCAUGCCAUCUUCAGUGCAGGGGUCGUCGGAAGCCAACAUUCCGAUCGGGAAGCUCCAAGCGUAUCUGGAGAACAACACACGACAGGAUGAUAACCCUAAAGUGUCAUCUUAGAUAGCAUCAGCUGACAAAGCUUUGAUAUGCCAUUUAUCUGAAUAGAUAGCUGUAAGAAAUGAAUUGAACAAUUUUUGAAAGAAGAGCACAAUAUGGUUACUAAAGUAUGUUUAUUUGUAUAUUGUUUAACAUUUAAAUAUAUAUUUGUAAUAAAUAAAAAACUUUUGACUGA
Paramisgurnus dabryanus is the source of this 630-nucleotide non-coding RNA. The record is from RefSeq and is a predicted model, not a curated record. Lineage: Eukaryota; Metazoa; Chordata; Actinopteri; Cypriniformes; Cobitidae.